This 59-nucleotide transfer RNA is filed under the name Matsucoccus matsumurae. Its description in RNAcentral is "tRNA-Asn". The record is from RNAcentral. Lineage: Eukaryota; Metazoa; Arthropoda; Insecta; Hemiptera; Margarodidae.
UUAAUUGAUUUAAAAAAUUAUUGUUAAUAAUUUAUUGAUUUAAUAAAAAUCCAAUUAAA